CAAAUAUUUCUGUCUCUUACUCUCGCGUCCUCAAACUUUUUCGCUUAUCAUUAUUCUGGUUUUGUCACACUGAUUCCAACUCUGCUUCUCGCUAUCAAUUUUUAUCACUUUCUUUUCCGAGUUCCCGAGUUACCUUUUUUCUGGAGAACUGUUUCGGUGGACGCGGAUUGAAAUCGUUGGUCAAAUCUACGUCGGUGUUGGGACGAUGAACGUGGUCAAUUUUGGACAAGUUCAACUUUUACUCUAAAAGAGCUUGGUUUCCGAGCCACGAACUCGACAGCAAAGGAAAUUACUUGGCAAAACGGGGCUCGCGAAUGAAGCACAUUUUCCAGAGGAAGUGCAGCCGAAAGAGUUUUUGUACGAAAAUAAAAUAGCCGACGACGAGCACGCCAGGUAUUAGAAAUUUCGGUUCGUGCGGAUAAGUUUUCUGCAAUAUUGGAAAUUCGUCGUUGAUUUUUUGACGGCGAGCAAGAGAUUAUUUGGACUUGAAGAGGUUCAGAAGCUGACGCAUUCGUUGAAAGUUCUUUGCGAAUCCUUCAGGACAUCGCCAUAAAUUUUGACCAUUCGGAAAUCGAGAAACCCUUUUUCGUAUCUUCGAUCUUGACUGACCCUGGAAAGCGGAUUACCGAUCUCCGCGUCACUGCGGAAACAUUGAGUCAUCUGUUCGGCAUUGGCUUUGCCAUGAUGAAUAACCCAGCAAAAAUUCUGACGUUUGUCGAGUUUAACAGACGCUGCUACAACUGAAAAAUGUGGGGUACGCGUUUCGUGUUGACUUCGGUGAUUAUUUUUUACAUCGAUCGAUGCAAUCGCAGUAGAUUCGAUCGGUCAUGAUUAGAAUCGUCGUGGGAGCUUUUUUAUUUGUAAAAAACCCGCCCGCACGCAAAAGAGGCUUGCGUUGAAAUAUUUUGAAGCAACGUGUCGAUUCUCUCGAACGAAUCGAAUUAUUUUUCAGGCAAUAUUGAGCCGCGUUUUUCCUUAAAUCCACUCGUCGUAAAACUUGUCUUUAUCGCUGUUUUUUUCCCCGGGGAUUACAAAGUUGAAUCCUUGCGGUUUUGUCUUACAGACUUUCCCCCACUGCCAGAUCCGCGAUCAGGCUUAAUGGUGACGUAACGAA
Venturia canescens is the source of this 1114-nucleotide long non-coding RNA. RefSeq lists it as uncharacterized. The transcript is spliced from 3 exons. NCBI's taxonomy places the organism in Eukaryota, Metazoa, Arthropoda, Insecta, Hymenoptera, Ichneumonidae. The record is from RefSeq and is a predicted model, not a curated record.